AUGAGAAUGAGUGAAGAUGAGAGGGAGGAGUAACAAAAGUGAAAACAAAAACCAAAAACUGAAAUUUAUUUGAAAUUGUCUUCAAUAUCAAGUUUUUAUUUUCACUUUUGUUACUCAUUCCUCUCAUCCUACCCUCACAUCCUC
This 144-nucleotide microRNA precursor is filed under the name Prunus dulcis (almond). RNAcentral's name for it is "sRNA ncRNA". Lineage: Eukaryota; Viridiplantae; Streptophyta; Magnoliopsida; Rosales; Rosaceae. The record is from RNAcentral.